CGUUGGCCUCAGAUCAGGGAGGAUCACCCGCCGAA
This 35-nucleotide small RNA is filed under the name Bombyx mori (domestic silkworm). RNAcentral describes it as "ovarian small RNA-14596". Lineage: Eukaryota; Metazoa; Arthropoda; Insecta; Lepidoptera; Bombycidae. The record is from RNAcentral.